This 496-nucleotide ribosomal RNA is filed under the name uncultured bacterium. RNAcentral's name for it is "partial 16S ribosomal RNA". It matches the Rfam family "Bacterial small subunit ribosomal RNA", at positions 28 to 506 of the family's 1533-position model. The record is from RNAcentral.
GAUGAACGCUGGCGGCGUGCCUAAUACAUGCAAGUCGAGCGAACAGAUGAGGAGCUUGCUCCUCUGACGUUAGCGGCGGACGGGUGAGUAACACGUGGAUAACCUACCUAUAAGACUGGGAUAACUUCGGGAAACCGGAGCUAAUACCGGAUAAUAUAUUGAACCGCAUGGUUCAAUAGUGAAAGACGGUUUUGCUGUCACUUAUAGAUGGAUCCGCGCCGCAUUAGCUAGUUGGUAAGGUAACGGCUUACCAAGGCAACGAUGCGUAGCCGACCUGAGAGGUGGACCGGCACAACUGGACCGGGGAAAGGGUCCAGACUCCUAGGGGAGGCAGAGGAAGGAAACUUUCGGCAAGGGGGGAAAGCUUGCGGGAGCAACGCGGGGGGAGGGAUGAAGGCCUCCGGACCGUAAAACCCUGUUAUUGGGGAAGAACAAAUGGGUAAGUAACUAGGCACGCCUGGACGGAACCUAAGCAGAAAGCCCCGGCUACCUACGU